GGCAUGGUCUGAUAAUUCAGAAACUCCUCACCCAGGUGGUCAUGCUCCUCUGGCCCAUGGUAUGGGAGGAGAUGGGGAAACCUAUUUAUGAAAGUAGAGUUACAGGUUGUUAAGUUAUAGGUAUAUUUAGAACGCCGUCUCACAGAAGCAAAAACUAUGUUCAAAUUAGUACUACUGCUAACACUUCAAUAGCUAAUCGUAUCAAACGAACAAUUACAAAAAUACUGUACUGUAGUUCUAUAUGUUUUCAAUGGAGCUUCUAAACGAUCAAACCUUGAACCGCUUAAUACGUAGCAAGUACAACAACCAUGGUAGUGUAGCUACCAUUGCUACGAGUUUAAUGGUAGGUAGCCUAACUAUACAGCUAAUUAAGGUAGCCUAGCUAACUAGCCAACUACAGUUUCGAAAAAAAUUACUUGCGCUGUGGAGACCGUCAGAAAAACUUGGAACGCACUAAUUAAAACAACACAAUUACAUCCACAAUGACAUGUAAAUAUACAAUAACCCAACCGUACAGGUACGUAGAGUACGUUAAUUUGAAACGCCGUCCACAGAAGCAAAAACUAGCCUAUAUGUUAAGGUUUGUAGUUAUACUACUAGCUUGCUAUGCUACCAUACAACAUACUUUCUACUAGCAAAGAUGAAUUAUUUACUGUGUCGUCUCAGUUACACUAUCAAACCUUGGAAAUACUGUGACUUGCUCAAGUAACGAAAUGGCUAAUAGAACAUCACAUUUCAUAAUUAUUUCAGUGAAUGAAACAGCUCCAAGACCCAGUGAAAUAUUAAAUACAGCUAACUUACAUUAGAUAGCUACAACAGCACGGAGUCACAAAGUGAUACUGGAACAAGUCAAUAAAACACUUAAUUUGUAUUCAUCAACGCAAACGAACUGUGUUAAACUUCUGGCCUUUGGUUAAAUCACUUUCUGAACACAAUUCCUCAAAAUGUACCUAUCGGUACCAAAGUUGCCUUCUCCCUAAUGCUAGAUAACUAUCCAGCUAACUAAGCUAGCUACCAUUUCGACCCAAAACAUAUGCGCUACCUCAAAUACACUAACCAAGAAUAAAAACAGAAUAAAAUCGUCUUGCAGUUAUCAUACGAAUUAAACAGUAAUAAGUAUGCUUUUAUUACUUACGGUCAAAUGUAGACGAAAAUCUUCUCCACACCAGAAAUCGUCCUCUUCUCUCGUAUCCACAAAAUAGUCUCAAUAAAAUUGUGUCUGUCCGUCUCCAUUCAGAACAGCACGUCAACCAUUGGCUGCCUAUAAACUCCUGGGUCCUAAAGCUACCCGGCUACAUAUUCACCAUUCGCGUUAGCGAUUAAUGCAAUUUGCUUUAUAUCAAUCAUUUUUGAAGAUAUGAAGUUGCCUUUGCACAUGGGGACAUGUUGUAGUGUCUUCCACGUGCAUACCAAGUUUGGUGUUGAUAUCUGAAAGAUUUGCUGAGGUAUGACUUUACUUCCUGUUUGGCAUCUUUUCUGCUGAAUUUCAGUGGCUGUACCGGCCAAACGGUUGUGAGGAUCAAAAUUCUGUUGGAGAACUUUUGUGAGGCUUGGUCUGAAGAUC
Molecule: long non-coding RNA, 1564 nt
Organism: Clupea harengus (Atlantic herring)
Lineage: Eukaryota; Metazoa; Chordata; Actinopteri; Clupeiformes; Clupeidae
Source: Ensembl